This 226-nucleotide non-coding RNA is filed under the name Kandleria vitulina. RNAcentral describes it as "T-box sequence". It matches the Rfam family "T-box leader". Rfam says of the family: Uncharged tRNA acts as the effector for transcription antitermination of genes in the T-box leader family. T-boxes are found upstream of many aminoacyl-tRNA synthetase genes and some amino acid biosynthetic genes usually in Gram-positive bacteria. The record is from RNAcentral. Lineage: Bacteria; Bacillati; Bacillota; Erysipelotrichia; Erysipelotrichales; Coprobacillaceae.
AAAAAUUCAAUGACGGGAACACGUUGUGAUCAGGAAGGCAAUCAGAGAGUCUGUGGCUGGUGAAAACAGAUUUGCUGAUGAUUACAGUAUCGUCCCUAAGAAGCGGAUUGAACAAUAUAGUAGAUCUAGCCGGUUUCCACCGUUAUAUGGAUAGCGUAUGGUUGUACGUAAAGUGUCAUGUUUAACAUGGAAAAAGGAUGGUACCGCGGAUAUAUUCGUUCCUAUA